Molecule: ribosomal RNA, 506 nt
Filed under: uncultured bacterium
Lineage: Bacteria
Description: partial 16S ribosomal RNA
Rfam family: Bacterial small subunit ribosomal RNA
Source: RNAcentral
GAUGAACGCUAGCUACAGGCUUAACACAUGCAAGUCGAGGGGUAACGAGAGGAAAGCUUGCUUUCCUUGUCGACGACCGGCGCACGGGUGAGUAACGCGUAUCCAACCUGCCCCCAACUAAGGAAUAACCUUGCGAGAGUAAGACUAAUACCUUAUAAUUUCCUCAGAUGUCAUCUGACGAGGAAUAAAGAUUUAUCGGUUGUGGAUGGGGAUGCGUCUGAUUAGCUUGUUGGCGGGGUAACGGCCCACCAAGGCAACGAUCAGUAGGGGUUCUGAGAGGAAGGUCCCCCACAUUGGAACUGAGACACGGUCCAAACUCCUACGGGAGGCAGCAGUGAGGAAUAUUGGUCAAUGGGCGGAAGCCUGAACCAGCCAAGUAGCGUGCAGGAUGACGGCCCUGUGUGUUGUAAACUGCUUUUAUACAGGAAUAAAGUUAGCCACGUGUGGUUAUUUGUAGGUACUGUAUGAAUAGGGACCGGCUAAUUCCGUGCCAGCCGCCGCGGUAA